UACGGAGGGUGCGAGCGUUAAUCGGAAUAACUGGGCGUAAAGGGCACGCAGGCGGGCUUUUAAGUGAGAUGUGAAAUCCCCGGGCUUAACCUGGGAAUAGCAUUUCAGACUGGGAGUCUAGAGUACUUUAGGGAGGGGUAGAAUUCCACGUGUAGCGGUGAAAUGGGUAGAGAUGUGGAGGAAUACCGAAGGCGAAGGCAGCCCCUUGGGCAAGUACUGACGCUCAUGUGCUAAAGCGUCGGGAGCAAACAGA
This 253-nucleotide ribosomal RNA is filed under the name uncultured bacterium. RNAcentral describes it as "partial 16S ribosomal RNA". It matches the Rfam family "Bacterial small subunit ribosomal RNA", at positions 524 to 776 of the family's 1533-position model. The record is from RNAcentral.